GUGGCUGUAGCUCAGUGGUUAAGCACUUGUCUAGCAUAUGUGAGGUACUGAGUUCAAUCCUCAGCACCACA
Molecule: non-coding RNA, 71 nt
Organism: Ictidomys tridecemlineatus (thirteen-lined ground squirrel)
Lineage: Eukaryota; Metazoa; Chordata; Mammalia; Rodentia; Sciuridae
Source: Rfam